RNAcentral lists this long non-coding RNA (4116 nucleotides) under Heterocephalus glaber (naked mole-rat). RNAcentral describes it as "lncRNA (ENSHGLG00100032870.1)". Lineage: Eukaryota; Metazoa; Chordata; Mammalia; Rodentia; Bathyergidae. The record is from RNAcentral.
CCCUCCCCGCUCAGGCCCGCCCGGAGUUGCAGGCGCGAGCCUGGGAGGACGAGUCUCCCCGGGCUUGCGGUCCCUGUCGCCCGUCUCUCUCCGUGGGGAUCUCCGGGGGUCUGGCGCGUGGGCGUGCGUGCCUCAGAGGGGGCAUCGAGACGGGGCCACCUCGGGGGCGAGCCCCGGACCCCGGGGACAGCCUGGCAGCUCGCGGAGGCCGGACCUCAGCUGCCGUUUGCAGCUCCACAUCCCGGGCCCGCACCGGGCGGCGAGGAGCGCGCCAGCCCCUGCCAGCCUUCACCCGGCCAGCGCCAGGCUCGGGGCGGGGCGCAGCCCGCGUCCCUGAGACCCUCAGGGCCAAGAGGAAAGAGCCGGGCUGGAGGGCGAGCCGCACCUCCGAGCCCGACACCGGCUUCGGCGGCGAAAAGCCGAGGCCCCCGCCCGAGCCGAGGCGCCCGGGUGCCCUCCGGGCGCUGCAAGGGUCACCGAUUCCCGGGGUUUGGAGCUUUCUCCUCUGGGCCCGGGGAGCCCCGAGGGUGAGCGGGGAUCGAGGGCCCCGUGUCCGUGCGUCCCGCGGGAGGCGGAAGAGGGUCGGGCGGGAGGUGGUCUGGGCAGGGUCCCCACAGUGCCCGCUCCGGGCCAAAGGCCAGGGCGCACCCCGCCCGCCACCCCAACUCGCACGGCGGCGCCUCCUCCGGCGCCCUGCCCGGUCCCCCCAGGGCUUUCCCCAACCGCUGCUGCCGUGUGCAAAUACAAAACAGCAAGGACAAUGCAAGGGACACUCAGAGCGCUGCCGCCAGCCAGGCAGCCCCGGGGCAAACUCCCGGGACCCUCGGAAGGGCCGUCGGAGAGGUGAAAAGGUCGCACGCAGCCUUCUGGGAACCGCGCUGUGUGUACGCAGCUAACGGUCUGGCUCCCACUGGUUCCAAGGGCUGGCACACGAGGUCUAGGGACGUUGGCCAGGGGUCUCUGCUCAGAGGGUGCGGCGGAAGGACGGGGUUGGGUCAGGAGGAGGGGCGCCCUCGGGCGCUGCGCCCCGCUGUCCAUCUGGGGACGCCGCGAGCCUUUGCCGCCUGCCCGGGGCGCUCCUCCCCGGCUGGGCUACGCGGCAGGCGCAGGCGGGAGGGAGCAGCGAGGGCCGGGCCGGCCCUGACGCUAGGCUGGAGGGAAGGGCGGCAGGGGGCGCGGCCGCGCCCAGCGGAUCGGGAGCCGCGCGAGGCUGCUCCCUCCGCCUUCCCCAGGAAGGGCUCCGCCCGCAGCCCGGGCGCAGAAAACGCCUGUCUUGCCGCUCACAUGCAGAGCGCCUUUCCCCAACCAACUAAUAAGGCAUGCACUGUGUACUCUGGGGGAGGGAUGUUGAAGUCCUGCCUUUGAUUUUAGCUCAUUGUGGCUUUCUUACCCUCCUGGGUUUCCCCACACGGUACUGGGUACUGGAGCCCUCCUCGCUGAUUGAUAAUUGCCGGCUGGUGCUGCAGCACAGUGCAAAUUGUCCUUGCUAACAACCUCUUCUGCUCUUGGAUUCCGCUCAGCGGUGGAAAGGGUCAGUUUUAGAUUUCUGCAACUCCCCAGCGAGGGAGACAGACCGACUUUAUAGGAGAACAUGUGAUAGGCAGAAAAAGCCAUGUGGCAGUAUUCCUAGGUUGAUUUUAUUUUGGUCCCAAGAACAUGGCACUCCUUCUGAUACCCCAACCCCCAGGCUAGGUAGACCCAAGUUCCACCUGAGGAAAGAUUCACCCACCGCCUGCGUUCCCAGUCUGCCCUGCCGGCCUGACCUUCAUGCCCAGAUGGGAGGGAGGCCUAGGCCUCCUAACAAUGGCCUGGACGCUAAAUGUUCCUUCCCUUCCUUUCAUCAAGCCCUCGUCAAUUUGUCAGAAAUAAGAUGAGAUCCAUUGCUCCCCAAAGGCCGUUUGAGCCACUAACUUCCUUAGAGUACUUCAGAUUAAUGCAAUAUGGAGAUUCAGGUUGGUAGUCCAAAACUGUAUCAAAUAUAGUCUUUUUUUUUUGGAAACAUCAAACCCAUGUAUUUCAGCACUGCAAUAAAACGACAUAUUUUCAGUAGGAGCUAACCAACAUUUGAAAUGUAAGAAUGGAAGGAGUGAAACUGGGAAAAUAUUAAAAAUUGGAUUUCAAGUAUUCUUGAAAAUACUUUUCUUAAAAUGGCAUUUCUUUCAAAUGACUGUCAUACAGAAUGUGUCAGUGGGCUGCAUGGUGGCUGUCUUCUUAGUUUGUAUUGGCAGAGGAACAGAAAGUAAACACAUAGCUUUAGUUUUUGAUUCUUUGUGUUUAGCCUUUUAAAACUUACCUUGAAAAUGUUCAAAUACUGGAGAAGAGACUUUCACCUAACAUUUUAAAACUUAGUUAAAAUGCGAAGUUUUUAUAAGACAGUGCACCUCCUAACAAGCAAGAUAAAGGGGGAAAAUGCUUAAUUUGGAAUCAUGUUGGUAAAUUCCAAAUGUUUCUCGGUAGGGGUUAGGUUUUGAAGACUGUACAUUACUCCUUUGAAAAAAAUAACUAUAUUUUUCUGCCUUUAGUGAGUUACUUUUAAAUUAAGAGUAUUAAAUUAAUAAUAACCAAGAGAAACACUCAGCAAAGCAAUGACAAGAUCAUUAGAGGGAACACAGUCACAUUUCUAAAAGACUAUCUUCAAAUAGGAUGACCUUUAAAUUUUCAACAGUGUUAAAAUUUAAUCAUAGUGCUAUGUAGAGAACUAAAAAUUUAAGGAAUUUUGAAAGAGGUCAAUAAAAAUGAUUCUUAAUAUAUCAAAUGAAGGCCCCUAAAAUGCAGUUAAGGAUUGUUUAAUUUAUCCUUCAAGGAUUUAAUUGUGUUUUGUGUUUUUUUAGAUGACUACUGGCUGUGGCAUGGAGAAUGGGAUAGGAGAAGUGUAAGGGAAGAGGUGAGGGCCCGGAUGUGAAGUAGCUGAAGUAGAAUCUAAACAGGGUGUUGCACAAGGUCUGGCAGUGGACCCUGAAAAGAUGCAUGCAAAACACAUUUCAAAAGUGUGAUGGACAGGACAGGAGGUCAGGUGUAUGGCAGUGAAGGAGUCAAGGUUUCAUAACUCAGUGGGCUGUGAGAGCCUUUAUGUAGGUAAAGGACACUAGGAGAAGGCUAGUUUGGAAGGAAGACCGUGAACUUUAUUGAGUCUUGGGUCAGCUUCUAGUCCCUCUGAGGCAAUCAAACAAGUCAAGAAGGUAGCAGAGUUAUUUGGCUUGGAGAUUUUAAGUUCAUGAGUCACUGAUCUAUAGACAAUAGUAAUUGAGAUGGAAGAGAUGGGUGAAACUGUUGAGGGAAUUGGAAAAGAAGACCAAGGGCAGGGAGGGCUGGGGAUUUAGCUCAGUGGUGCUGCUACAAGUGCAAGGUCCUGAGUUUGAUCCCUGGUACAAAAAAAAAAAAAAAAAAGACCAAGGGCAAGGAAUUGAAGAACUUGUAAAGCUGGAUUGUCAGAAUGAGUCGACGCAGGGCCUGGAGGGUGAGCAGCUGCAGAGGAAGGAGGAAAACCAGCAAAGUAUAUUGCCAUAAAAGCUAAAUAGAAGCGGGUCUUGAGGAAUCUCCCUGGAGAGAUGGGGCUCCUGCAGAGGUGCUCGUGGCUAUGUAGAGUACGCCUUUCCUGAGGUUCUUCUUUACCUGUGGAACAGCCUGAUCUGGAAAAAGGAUCAAGAAUGGAGCGAGGAUGGCAGUAGGUCUGGCGGAAGACAAAUCAUGACACAUUUUGGCAGUGGACCUUCUUUAAUGUUAUCCCCAGCUUCAGUACCAGAGGUACUGAAGGUAUUUUUUCAGAGUAUUUCUCAGUCUUGAGCUUAAUUGCCAACAUUUUCAUGAGCUUGCAGGGUCCACACAGGGAGUACCAUGCUUUUGAUACAGAAGGCUUCUGGGCAAUUUCUGAUUCUUCAUAGAGAUAUUGGAUAGAAUCAUACUGAUUAAGCUGUGGCAACAGCAAACAGUCUCAAUAUUGUGAAGUCCAAGAGGUGGGUUUUGUUGCUAACAUAAAAAUAUACCUCAGCCACAUGCUGGUGCAAUGCACAAGUGGGGAUUGGGAGUGGAGUUUCUUCCUCUAUCCAACAAAAGAUAUAUUUGCUGUAAUUUUGACCACCACAACCUUUUGUGAAAGCUGCCCUUGGAAAACAGUAC